This 90-nucleotide ribosomal RNA is filed under the name Acanthosepion pharaonis. Lineage: Eukaryota; Metazoa; Mollusca; Cephalopoda; Sepiida; Sepiidae. The record is from RNAcentral.
ACUGGUUUUCAUCUGAUCACGAAAGUUAAGCAACAUUGAGCCUGGUCAGUACCUAACUGGGUGACCACUUGGGAAUAUCAGCUGCUGUAA